Molecule: ribosomal RNA, 465 nt
Filed under: Vreelandella stevensii
Lineage: Bacteria; Pseudomonadati; Pseudomonadota; Gammaproteobacteria; Oceanospirillales; Halomonadaceae
Description: partial 16S ribosomal RNA
Rfam family: Bacterial small subunit ribosomal RNA
Source: RNAcentral
CCUACGGGAGGCUGCAGUGGGGAAUAUUGGACAAUGGGGGCAACCCUGAUCCAGCCAUGCCGCGUGUGUGAAGAAGGCCCUCGGGUUGUAAAGCACUUUCAGUGAGGAAGAACGCCUGGUGGUUAAUACCCAUCAGGAAAGACAUCACUCACAGAAGAAGCACCGGCUAACUCCGUGCCAGCAGCCGCGGUAAUACGGAGGGUGCGAGCGUUAAUCGGAAUUACUGGGCGUAAAGCGCGCGUAGGUGGCUUGAUAAGCCGGUUGUGAAAGCCCCGGGCUCAACCUGGGAACGGCAUCCGGAACUGUCAAGCUAGAGUGCAGGAGAGGAAGGUAGAAUUCCCGGUGUAGCAGUGAAAUGCGUAGAGAUCGGGAGGAAUACCAGUGGCGAAGGCGGCCUUCUGGACUGACACUGACACUGAGGUGCGAAAGCGUGGGUAGCAAACAGGAUUAGAUACCCUAGUAGUC